GCAAUCGACCAUAGGAUCUGGAAAACAGGGCUUCCCGUUCGCUCAGCCGUACUUAAGCCAGAUGCCGGUCAGUUAGUACUGAAGUGGGUGACCAUUUGGGAAUCCUGACUGUCGAUUGUU
This is a ribosomal RNA of Capronia epimyces CBS 606.96, 120 nucleotides long. The record is from Rfam. Lineage: Eukaryota; Fungi; Ascomycota; Eurotiomycetes; Chaetothyriales; Herpotrichiellaceae.